This 495-nucleotide ribosomal RNA is filed under the name uncultured bacterium. Its description in RNAcentral is "partial 16S ribosomal RNA". It matches the Rfam family "Bacterial small subunit ribosomal RNA", at positions 28 to 505 of the family's 1533-position model. The record is from RNAcentral.
GAUGAACGCUGGCGGCGUGCCUAAUACAUGCAAGUCGAGCGAACAGACGAGGAGCUUGCUCCUCUGACGUUAGCGGCGGACGGGUGAGUAACACGUGGAUAACCUACCUAUAAGACUGGGAUAACUUCGGGAAACCGGAGCUAAUACCGGAUAAUAUAUUGAACCGCAUGGUUCAAUAGUGAAAGACGGUUUUGCUGUCACUUAUAGAUGGAUCCGCGCCGCAUUAGCUAGUUGGUAAGGUAACGGCUUACCAAGGCAACGAUGCGUAGCCGACCUGAGAGGGUGAUCGGCCACACUGGAACUGAGACACGGUCCAGACUCCUACGAGAGGCAGCAGUAGGGAAUCUUCCGCAAUGGGCGAAAGCUUGACGGAGCAACGCCGCGUGAGUGAUGAAGGUCUUCGGAUCGUAAAACUCUGUUAUUAGGGAAGAACAAAUGUGUAAGUAACUAUGCACGUCUUGACGGUACCUAAUCAGAGAGCCACGGCUAACUACG